GACGAACGCUGGCGGCGUGCCUAAUACAUGCAAGUAGAACGCACAGUUUAUACCGUAGCUUGCUACACCAUAGACUGUGAGUUGCGAACGGGUGAGUAACGCGUAGGUAACCUGCCUGGUAGCGGGGGAUAACUAUUGGAAACGAUAGCUAAUACCGCAUAAUAUUAAUUAUUGCAUGAUAAUUAAUUGAAAGGUGCAACUGCACCACUACCAGAUGGGCCUGCGUUGUAUUAGCUAGUAGGUGAGGUAACGGCUCACCUAGGCGACGAUACAUAGCCGACCUGAGAGGGUGAUCGGCCACACUGGGACUGAGACACGGCCCAGACUCCUACGGGAGGCAGCAGUAGGGAAUCUUCGGCAAUGGACGAAAGUCUGACCGAGCAACGCCGCGUGAGUGAAGAAGGUUUUCGGAUCGUAAAGCUCUGUUGUAAGAGAAGAACGGGUGUGAGAGUGGAAAGUUCACACUGUGACGGUAUCUUACCAGAAAGGGACGGCUAACUACGUG
This 505-nucleotide ribosomal RNA is filed under the name uncultured bacterium. RNAcentral describes it as "partial 16S ribosomal RNA". It matches the Rfam family "Bacterial small subunit ribosomal RNA", at positions 28 to 507 of the family's 1533-position model. The record is from RNAcentral.